GCGGCCGCGCUGAUGAACUGGGAAUCCCUUCUCUCCCCCACCCCAGGCCUCCUGAACCGGCCCAACCCCUUGCUGGCGUUGCCCCCCUCCCGCCCCCAAGGCCCAGAGGACGAGGACGAGGCAGUGGAGAGCGCCCAAGCGGAGGAUUACUCGCAGCUGCCCGGAGAAGAUCACAUCCUGGAGCACCUGCCCGCCCGGCUCAAUGAGGCCCUGCUGGAGGCCUGCGUGGAGCCCACGGACCUGCUGACCACCCUCUCCAACAUGCUGCCCGUGCGUCUGGCCACGGCCAUGAUGGUGCCCUACACGCUGCCGCUGGAGAGCGCUCUGUCCUUCACCAUCCGCUUGCUGGAGUGGCUGCCCGACGUUCCCGAGGACAUCCGGUGGAUGAAGGAGCAGACGGGCAGCAUCUGCCAGUACCUGGUGAUGCGCGCCAAGAGGAAGCUGGGCAGGCACCUGCCCUCUAGG
Molecule: small RNA, 465 nt
Filed under: Pongo abelii (Sumatran orangutan)
Lineage: Eukaryota; Metazoa; Chordata; Mammalia; Primates; Hominidae
Description: retained intron
Source: RNAcentral